AGUGAACGCUGGCGGUAUGCCUAACACAUGCAAGUCGAACGGCAGCACAGUAAGAGCUUGCUCUUACGGGUGGCGAGUGGCGGACGGGUGAGGCAUACAUCGGAAUCUACUUUUUCGUGGGGGACAACGUAGGGAAACUUACGCUACUACCGCAUACGACCUACGGGUGAAAGCAGGGGAUCUUCGCACCUUGCGCGAUUGAUUGAGCCGAUGUCGGAUUAGCUAGUUGGCGGGGUAAAGGCCCACCAAGGCGACGAUCCGUAGCUGGUCUGAGAGGAUGAUCAGCCACACUGGAACUGAGACACGGUCCAGACUCCUACGGGAGGCAGCAGUGGGGAAUAUUGGACAAUGGGCGCAAGCCUGAUCCAGCCAUACCGCGUGGGUGAAGAAGGCCUUCGGGUUGUAAAGCCCUUUUGUUGGGAAAGAAAAGCAGCAGGUUAAUACCCCGCUGUUCUGACGGUACCCAAAGAAUAAGCACCGGCUAACUUCGUG
This 492-nucleotide ribosomal RNA is filed under the name uncultured bacterium. RNAcentral's name for it is "partial 16S ribosomal RNA". It matches the Rfam family "Bacterial small subunit ribosomal RNA", at positions 29 to 507 of the family's 1533-position model. The record is from RNAcentral.